AUUGAACGCUGGCGGCAGGCCUAACACAUGCAAGUCGAACGAGUGGCGGACGGGUGAGUAAUGUCUGGGAAACUGCCUGAUGGAGGGGGAUAACUACUGGAAACGGUAGCUAAUACCGCAUACCAUCAGAUGUGCCCCGAUGGGAUGAGCUAGUUGGUGGGGUAACGGCUCACCUAGGCGACGAUCCCUAGCUGGUCUGAGAGGAUGCCAAGCCACCCUGGAGCGGAGACACGGACCAGACGCCUGCGGGAGGCAGCAGUGGGGAAUAUUGCACAAUGGGCGCAAGCCUGAUGCAGCCAUGCCGCGUGUAUUAAGAAGGCCUUCGGGUUGUAAAGUACUUUCAGCGGGGAGGCGUUACCCGCAGAAGAAGCACCGGCUAACUCCGUGCCAGCAGCCGCGGUAAUUC
This 406-nucleotide ribosomal RNA is filed under the name uncultured bacterium. RNAcentral describes it as "partial 16S ribosomal RNA". It matches the Rfam family "Bacterial small subunit ribosomal RNA", at positions 30 to 526 of the family's 1533-position model. The record is from RNAcentral.